CCAUCAGAGUGAGACUAAGCCAUGCGAGUUAACGUAUGAAUAAUACGUGGCGAACGGCUCAGUAACACGUAGUCAACAUGCCCAGAGGACGUGGAUAACCUCGGGAAACUGAGGAUAAACCGCGAUAGGUCAUAACUACUGGAAUGUGUUAUGGCCGAAAUCUAUAUGGCCUCUGGAUUGGACUGCGGCCGAUCAGGCUGUUGGUGAGGUAAUGGCCCACCAAACCUGUUACCGGUACGGGUCUGAGAGGAGGAGCCCGGAGAUGGGCACUGAGACAAGGGCCCAGGCCCUAUGGGGCGCAGCAGGCGCGAAACCUCUGCUAAUAGGCGAAAGCUUGACAGGGUUACUCUGAGUGUUNCCCGCUAAGGGAUCUUUUGGC
This 379-nucleotide ribosomal RNA is filed under the name uncultured archaeon. Its description in RNAcentral is "bacterial SSU rRNA". It matches the Rfam family "Archaeal small subunit ribosomal RNA", at positions 30 to 414 of the family's 1478-position model. The record is from RNAcentral.